Molecule: unclassified non-coding RNA, 17 nt
Filed under: Mus musculus (house mouse)
Lineage: Eukaryota; Metazoa; Chordata; Mammalia; Rodentia; Muridae
Description: oocyte_clustered_small_RNA8966
Source: RNAcentral
UCAGAGCUUCAUUUCUG